RNAcentral lists this long non-coding RNA (1676 nucleotides) under Malus domestica (apple). Its description in RNAcentral is "long non-coding RNA (MDOM_LNC013630)". Lineage: Eukaryota; Viridiplantae; Streptophyta; Magnoliopsida; Rosales; Rosaceae. The record is from RNAcentral.
AGCCACACAAUGGGUAGCCUAAUUUGGUAUCGAAUUUUCCAUCCAUGAGAUUUGAACCUAAGACCUCUCACUUCCAAAUGAAGAGGAAUACCACCAAACCGUAGUAAUGAGUGGCUAAACACUACGUUCCUUAAGGGUGUGUUUGGUACGCAGACGGGACGGAACGGGACGGGACGGGACGGGACGGAAUGGAACGGGACGGGACAGAACGGAACGGGACGGGACGGAACGGAACGGGACGGGACGGAACGGAACGGGACGGGAUGGAACGAAGGUGUAAUUUUUGAAAAAGACAUGGGGUAUAUUUGUCUUAAAAUGGUAAAACAUUGUGUUCCACAGACGUGGAACAAACCCGUUCCAGGGGGUGAAGGUGGGACGCAAAAACACCCAAAAUCUGUCCCGUGGAACAGCCCGUUCCACCCAUUUUUGGCGCACCAAACGCGGGACAGAAUGCCUCGUCGCGUUCCGUCCCGUCCCGUCCCACGUACCAAACGCACCCUAAAAGACGUAUAAUUUGGAUUACAAGACUGAUUAAGUUUGUCUACAAGCACAUCACAAAGUUAAUCGUGAUAAACAUGAGCAAGAGACAUGUAUGUGUUAGGCACUAGGCACAACCUAUUUAACAUUGUUAAAGUAAAAUAUCCUUUCGUAAUGGUCAAAGUCAAUCACCCAUUAGCUAAAACUAAUCACACUUUAGAACCUUUGCUCAUGUUUUCAAUUUUCAACUUGCCUAUAAAAGCAUUUAAAUUUUAUAUUUGGAACCAUAAUUUUCACACUAAAAAUGCAUUAAGACCAAAUUACUGUAUAAUCCCUAGCCUAUUUCCAAAUCAUGAUUAAUACUUUUGCUCAUGUUUUUAAUUUUCAACUUGACUAUAAAAGCAUUUAAAUAUUAUGUUUGGAACAAUAAUUUUCACACUAAAAAUGCAUUAAGACCGAAUCAUAAUUAUAUAACCCCUAUGUCCUAAUGAUCAUGAUUAAUAUUUUACCUUGGAAAGUACUUUAAAUCCAAUGUAAGAGUUAUUUUCCAGUGCUUCUUUUCUUUGAAAAAAGAGGAAUUCUUGUUUGGACAACUAAGACUUGUUUAAAAAUGGUGGUUCUUUGGCUAGCUUGCACAAAGGUUUUAUCUUUUGGCUUCAUAUUUUUCAUUGGCUUUUGACACAAAUCAAGUCUACAUGGAGGAAUGUAUUUAGAAUAUGUUCACAUCACUUCGUUAGAUGAUACUUAUUGAAUAUAACCAUGAAAUUAAGUUCUAAGAGUGAGAGGUACGUACGUAUAGGGUUGUAUUGCAUGUAUAAAUUCAUAAAUAACGUAAUUAAAAGUCUAUGAAAUUUUCUUCUCAUAUUUUCAAUGACAAAAACAUGAUUAUAAGAGAAUGAAUGGUUUCGAUUAACAUUUUUGUACUGUAAAAUAACGUCCCAUUAGUCAGAAAGGAGGCGAUUCCUCCAUGCGAAUGAAGUAUUAGUAAUACAUAGCCAAAUGUCAAUUGAAAGAUAAUCCCUCUUUUGUUUAAUACUCACAAUAGUUUCUCAAAUCUCAAGCUAAAAGGAUGGAAAAAGAGCCUCAAAAAAGGCCAAAUAACUUUAUCUCGAAAUCAGAGUAGGAUUCUUUCUUCUUCUAUUUCCCUCUCAUUUCCUCAUCUCCUCUCCUCUCACAUUUGUCUUUUAUCUCUAUAAAAA